This 253-nucleotide ribosomal RNA is filed under the name uncultured bacterium. Its description in RNAcentral is "partial 16S ribosomal RNA". It matches the Rfam family "Bacterial small subunit ribosomal RNA", at positions 524 to 776 of the family's 1533-position model. The record is from RNAcentral.
UACAGAGGUCCCAAGCGUUGUUCGGAUUCACUGGGCGUAAAGGGUGCGUAGGCGGUCGGGUAAGUCUGACGUGAAAUCUUCAAGCUCAACUUGGAAACUGCGUCGGAUACUAUUCGGCUAGAGGAAUGGAGGGGAGACUGGAAUACUUGGUGUAGCAGUGAAAUGCGUAGAUAUCAAGUGGAACACCAGUGGCGAAGGCGAGUCUCUGGACAUUUCCUGACGCUGAGGCACGAAAGCUAGGGGAGCAAACGGG